AUAUCUCUCCGUACGGGAAGGAUGAGAAGCUUCGACUAAGGUUCGAUUCGAGCGCAGCGAGAACGCGUUGCCGCAGGCAACGACCCGAAGGGCGAAGCGCGCAGC
Molecule: small RNA, 105 nt
Filed under: Salmonella enterica
Lineage: Bacteria; Pseudomonadati; Pseudomonadota; Gammaproteobacteria; Enterobacterales; Enterobacteriaceae
Also listed under: 1 other name
Description: partial RtT sRNA
Rfam family: RtT RNA
About the family: This family represents a bacterial cis-regulatory element known as RtT RNA. The exact function of RtT is unknown although it is thought that it may be involved in changing the cellular response in relation to amino acid starvation.
Source: RNAcentral